GAAAGUGAAGAAAAAGAAAAAGAAAGAAAACAAAAGAAAAAGAAGAAGAAAGUAAAAAGAAGAUUGUGGACAGUUAUUGGGAAAGUUUUUUGAUAACUCUGAGAAGGACAAGGGUGAAAAUCUUUGACUUGCUUGAUUUCUGGAAAAGUUAUAAGAGGACCUGAUGGAGGAUAUGAUGUUUAGAGACACUGCCACCCUCUUGAGGUCAUGAGGCAUUAUUAGGACUUAAAAACCCAUUUGGUAAUAUGGGUAAAGUAGAAUUAUAUACAGAAUCUGGAUCUUUACUGUUUUUACUAAGAUGCUGACCAUGCCUAUAUUCUCCAAACUGAAAUCUCUAAAAUACCUUCAUCAUUUGUAAAAUUAUUCUUCCUUCUUUUAUAAGAUAGUUAAGUUGAAGAGCCUGUCUUGCCUUAGACCUUCUGGUCAGGAGAAGAUGGACACCAUGAUG
This 448-nucleotide long non-coding RNA is filed under the name Marmota monax (woodchuck). The record is from RNAcentral. Lineage: Eukaryota; Metazoa; Chordata; Mammalia; Rodentia; Sciuridae.